CCUACGGGCGGCAGCAGUGGGGAAUAUUGGACAAUGGGCGAAAGCCUGAUCCAGCAAUGCCGCGUGUGUGAAGAAGGUCUUCGGAUUGUAAAGCACUUUCGACGGGGACGAUGAUGAUGGUACCCGUAGAAGAAGCCCCGGCUAACUUCGUGCCAGCAGCCGCGGUAAUACGAAGGGGGCUAGCGUUGCUCGGAAUGACUGGGCGUAAAGGGCGCGUAGGCGGUUUAUGCAGUCAGAUGUGAAAUCCCCGGGCUUAACCUGGGAACUGCAUUUGAGACGCAUAGACUAGAGGACGAGAGAGGGUUCUGGAAUUCCCAGUGUAGAGGUGAAAUUCGUAGAUAUUGGGAAGAACACCGGUGGCGAAGGCGGCAACCUGGCUCGAUACUGACGCUGAGGCACGAAAGCGUGGGGAGCAAACAGGAUUAGAUACCCUCGUAGUC
RNAcentral lists this ribosomal RNA (440 nucleotides) under uncultured bacterium. RNAcentral describes it as "bacterial SSU rRNA". It matches the Rfam family "Bacterial small subunit ribosomal RNA", at positions 338 to 795 of the family's 1533-position model. The record is from RNAcentral.